This is a long non-coding RNA of Ochotona curzoniae (black-lipped pika), 605 nucleotides long. RefSeq lists it as uncharacterized. NCBI's taxonomy places the organism in Eukaryota, Metazoa, Chordata, Mammalia, Lagomorpha, Ochotonidae. The transcript has 3 exons. The record is from RefSeq and is a predicted model, not a curated record.
CAUAUGGAAUUCUGGCACGUUUAAGAUGAGAAGACACCUGUUAGAGCUGGCGUCCAAAACAAAGUAGCCCAACACCAGAGUUCCUGCUCCAAAGCCACGAAAUGACGGCCAGUUUUAAACAAGAAAAUAAGGUUCCAGGACGCUCCGAGACUGAGCCACGCUGAGUACGAGUACACAGCUGUUUAUAUUCCUUCUGGUGAAUAGCACUGGACUGUUGGAACGGAAAGCGUAGUGAUCUAAAUGAUACUCAAAGGUGUCUUUAGGGCUGUGAAUAGUGCGGGCUGCACUUCGUACAUAUGGACACUAGAUGGCGCCACGACACCACAUAUCGGAAGUCACCCUCACCUCUUCCCGCCUCAGCCCUUGAAUGCGUUGGAGGAGAGAAUGCUACUUCAGCGCCAGAGCAGAGGAAACUUUGUGCUGGCGUUCAACUGUAGGUCCCUGAAGCUGAGCUUUGCGGCGACUGGAGACUGUGGCCUCUGAGUGGCUGGAUCCAGGACGUGCGGGGCUGGCAGACUGAGUUUGCUCAGACAGUUGUAGAUCCAGCAAGGUGAGACCAGGCAUGACAUGUCCACUUGGCAGUCUCUUGUAAAUGUACUGGUGCA